This 440-nucleotide ribosomal RNA is filed under the name uncultured bacterium. RNAcentral's name for it is "partial 16S ribosomal RNA". It matches the Rfam family "Bacterial small subunit ribosomal RNA", at positions 338 to 795 of the family's 1533-position model. The record is from RNAcentral.
CCUACGGGAGGCAGCAGUGGGGGAUAUUGCACAAUGGGGGGAACCCUGAUGCAGCGACGCCGCGUGGGUGAAGAAGCGCCUCGGCGCGUAAAGCCCUGUCAGCAGGGAAGAAAAUGACGGUACCUGAAGAAUAAGCCCUGGCUAACUACGUGCCAGCAGCCGCGGGAAUACGUAGGGGGCAAGAGGUAUCCGGAUUUACUGGGGGUAAAGGGGGCGCAGACGGGGAUGCAAGCCAGGAGUGAAAGCCCGGGGCCCAACCCCGGGACUGCUCUUGGAACGGCGUGGCUGGAGUGCAGGAGGGGCAGGCGGAAUGCCUGGUGUAGCGGUGAAAUGCGUAGAUAUCAGGAGGAACACCGGUGGCGAAGGUGGCCUGCUGGACUGCAACUGACGUUGAGGCCCGAAAGCGUGGGGAGCAAACAGGAUUAGAUACCCCUGUAGUA